Molecule: ribosomal RNA, 1279 nt
Filed under: metagenome
Description: bacterial SSU rRNA
Rfam family: Bacterial small subunit ribosomal RNA
Source: RNAcentral
CGGGUCGGCAUCGACCAGAGGGAAAAGGAGCAAUCCGCUUUGAGAUGGCCUCGCGUCCGAUUAGCUAGUUGGUGAGGUAAUGGCCCACCAAGGCGACGAUCGGUAGCCGGACUGAGAGGUUGAACGGCCACAUCGGGACCGAGACACGGCCCAGACUCCUACGGGAGGCAGCAGUGGGGAAUAUUGCACAAUGGGGGAAACCCUGAUGCAGCGACGCCGCGUGGAGGAAGAAGGUCUUCGGAUUGUAAACUCCUGUUGUUGAGGAAGAUAAUGACGGUACUCAACAAGGAAGUGACGGCUAACUACGUGCCAGCAGCCGCGGUAAAACGUAGGUCACAAGCGUUGUCCGGAAUUACUGGGUGUAAAGGGAGCGCAGGCGGGAAGACAAGUUGGAGGUGAAAUCCAUGGGCUCAACCCAUGAACUGCUUUCAAAACUGUUUUUCUUGAGUAGUGCAGAGGUAAGCGGAAUUCCCGGUGUAGCGGUGGAAUGCGUAGAUAUCGGGAGGAACACCAGUGGCGAAGGCGGCCUACUGGGCACCAACUGACGCUGAGGCUCGAAAGUGUGGGUAGCAAACAGGAUUAGAUACCCUGGUAGUCCACACCGUAAACGAUGAUUACUAGGUGUUGGGGGAUUGACCCCUUCAGUGCCGCAGUUAACACAAUAAGUAAUCCACCUGGGGAGUACGACCGCAAGGUUGAAACUCAAAGGAAUUGACGGGGGCCCGCACAAGCAGUGGAGUAUGUGGUUUAAUUCGACGCAACGCGAAGAACCUUACCAAGUCUUGACAUCCUGCGACGGAUAUAGAAAUAUGUCUUUCCUUCGGGACGCAGAGACAGGUGGUGCAUGGUUGUCGUCAGCUCGUGUCGUGAGAUGUUGGGUUAAGUCCCGCAACGAGCGCAACCCUUAUGGUCAGUUACUACGCAAGAGGACUCUGGCCAGACUGCCGUUGACAAAACGGAGGAAGGUGGGGAUGACGUCAAAUCAUCAUGCCCUUUAUGACUUGGGCUACACACGUACUACAAUGGCGUUAAACAAAGAGAAGCAAGACCGCGAGGUGGAGCAAAACUCAGAAACAACGUCCCAGUUCGGACUGCAGGCUGCAACUCGCCUGCACGAAGUCGGAAUUGCUAGUAAUCGUGGAUCAGCAUGCCACGGUGAAUACGUUCCCGGGCCUUGUACACACCGCCCGUCACACCAUGAGAGCCGGGGGGACCCGAAGUCGGUAGUCUAACCGCAAGGAGGACGCCGCCGAAGGUAAAACUGGUGAUUGGGGUGAAG